RNAcentral lists this ribosomal RNA (814 nucleotides) under uncultured Bacteroidota bacterium. RNAcentral's name for it is "bacterial SSU rRNA". It matches the Rfam family "Bacterial small subunit ribosomal RNA", at positions 65 to 885 of the family's 1533-position model. The record is from RNAcentral. Lineage: Bacteria; Pseudomonadati; Bacteroidota.
AGGGGUAUAGUUCUUCGGAACUAGAGACCGGCGCACGGGUGCGUAACGCGUAUGCAAUCUACCUUUCACAGAGGGAUAGCCCAGAGAAAUUUGGAUUAAUACCUCAUAGUAUAAUGAGUUGGCAUCAACACAUUAUUAAAGUCACAACGGUGAAAGAUGAGCAUGCGUCCCAUUAGCUAGAUGGUAAGGUAACGGCUUACCAUGGCUACGAUGGGUAGGGGUCCUGAGAGGGAGAUCCCCCACACUGGUACUGAGACACGGACCAGACUCCUACGGGAGGCAGCAGUGAGGAAUAUUGGACAAUGGGCGCAAGCCUGAUCCAGCCAUGCCGCGUGCAGGAUGACGGUCCUAUGGAUUGUAAACUGCUUUUGUACAGGAAGAAACACUGGUUCGUGAACCAGCUUGACGGUACUGUAAGAAUAAGGAUCGGCUAACUCCGUGCCAGCAGCCGCGGUAAUACGGAGGAUCCAAGCGUUAUCCGGAAUCAUUGGGUUUAAAGGGUCCGUAGGCGGUUUAGUAAGUCAGUGGUGAAAGCCCAUCGCUCAACGGUGGAACGGCCAUUGAUACUGCUAAACUUGAAUUAUUAGGAAGUAACUAGAAUAUGUAGUGUAGCGGUGAAAUGCUUAGAGAUUACAUGGAAUACCAAUUGCGAAGGCAGGUUACUACUAAUGGAUUGACGCUGAUGGACGAAAGCGUGGGUAGCGAACAGGAUUAGAUACCCUGGUAGUCCACGCCGUAAACGAUGGAUACUAGCUGUUGGAAGCAAUUUCAGUGGCUAAGCGAAAGUGAUAAGUAUCCCACCUGGGGAGUACGU